RNAcentral lists this ribosomal RNA (434 nucleotides) under uncultured bacterium. Its description in RNAcentral is "bacterial SSU rRNA". It matches the Rfam family "Bacterial small subunit ribosomal RNA", at positions 27 to 507 of the family's 1533-position model. The record is from RNAcentral.
GAACGAACGCUGGCGGCAGGCCUAACACAUGCAAGUCGAGCGAUCCUUUCGGGGAUAGCGGCGGACGGGUGAGUAACGCGUGGGAACGUACCCUUUGCUACGGAAUAGCCUCGGGAAACUGGGAGUAAUACCGUAUGUGCCCUUCGGGGGAAAGAUUUAUCGGCAAAGGAUCGGCCCGCGUUGGAUUAGGUAGUUGGUGGGGUAAUGGCCUACCAAGCCGACGAUCCAUAGCUGGUUUGAGAGGAUGAUCAGCCACACUGGGACUGAGACACGGCCCAGACUCCUACGGGAGGCAGCAGUGGGGAAUCUUAGACAAUGGGGGCAACCCUGAUCUAGCCAUGCCGCGUGAGUGAUGAAGGCCCUAGGGUUGUAAAGCUCUUUCAGCUGGGAAGAUAAUGACGGUACCAGCAGAAGAAGCCCCGGCUAACUCCGUG